CAGAUACUAACACUUGA
RNAcentral lists this unclassified non-coding RNA (17 nucleotides) under synthetic construct. RNAcentral's name for it is "BPS oligo from synthetic construct (PDB 7Q4O, chain h)". The record is from RNAcentral.